Molecule: long non-coding RNA, 925 nt
Organism: Dermacentor andersoni
Lineage: Eukaryota; Metazoa; Arthropoda; Arachnida; Ixodida; Ixodidae
Source: RefSeq, a predicted model, not a curated record
GUAAUUUCUUAUACGGAAGAAAUGCACAAUCGUUCGUGCAUUAUUUAUUUUCAAAGCACCCGCGUUCGACGUCACAUGCCUACGUUCGAUCACGUGAAUUUUCAUGCGUGCGCUCAUGUGUGCGCUUAUCUAUUCACUUUGCUUCUUCUCAAACGAGCCAGUUAUUGAGCACAGUAGGAGCUAGGUGUUGCUGAAACCGCGUGGGAAUCACCUGUCGCAAUUUCAGCUCAACGAAAUAUUUUUCGCACUUGUAUUACGAGAUACCUAGGGAAGCUGCAUCGUUACUAACAGCAGCGAAGACGAAUCUGACCAAAUUUGACUGUUGUUGUGACAGCUGGCUGACCUGUCGCGUGCCAGUAUUCACGCGAAGAAAGUGCGAUUCGGCGACGAUGUUGUGCUCCACUCCACUGCCUUGCACGCAACCUAGCGAUGGUGACCAAUGCCAGUGAAAUUUUUUCAACUUUUGUUCGCCGCUUUUGUGAUGAGCAGCAAAGGGACUUCAUUCAUCAUGGAGAAGCCGAAUGAUCGACAGACAUGCUGAGCCACCUAACUCGACAAGGUCUAUCUUUCGAGAAGAGGCUGCCCAAAUACAAGGUGCCCAAACAUUAGAAAUGCACCCGCAUACAUGGAGUCGUAUGGAGACACUGUGCUGGUUCCUGAACAGCAAAAGAGACGAACAGGUGGAGCAAUUGCCUGCCCAUACUUCCAGAUGCCACAGGUGUCACGACUCAAGGUAGCAUUCAGGCCAGGAGCCCUCCAGGCAUAGGGAUGAGUGGAGCAAUAUGGUGGUUGAAUCAAACCAGGUACAUCGAUCGCCAACUUAGCUGCAAGCUGGAUUUUUGCAUGCAUGUAUCCCAUGUUGUUGUAAGCAUGUAUACCAUGAUUGCUUGGAAUUGUUUAAUAAAAAGAUUUCACAGGCUGAAAA